Molecule: long non-coding RNA, 303 nt
Organism: Telopea speciosissima
Lineage: Eukaryota; Viridiplantae; Streptophyta; Magnoliopsida; Proteales; Proteaceae
Exons: 3
Source: RefSeq, a predicted model, not a curated record
GAUGCUCAUGUAAAGAGGCGGACUCCUGAAGAGGUUGUUGCAGAGAUGCACGAUAAAGGUCCCCAACAAUCUACAAUGGAGAACCGUAUGAGAUCAGAAGAGGAAAGAGAUAAACUCCGUUCUUACUUUGCAAGGUGGGCUUUUGAAAGUGGCGUUCCAUUCAAUGCAUUGAAGCUAAGGAGUUUCAAGGAGUAGGUUGAGGCAAUUGGACAAUAUGGGCCAGGUUUCAAGCCCCCUUCAUUUCAUGAUUAUAGAGUUCCUCUAUUGAAGUCUGAGAAAGAGAAAACUGAUGAGUUAAAGAUG